RNAcentral lists this ribosomal RNA (278 nucleotides) under uncultured Lachnospiraceae bacterium. RNAcentral's name for it is "partial 16S ribosomal RNA". The stretch from base 40 to 278 matches the Rfam family "Bacterial small subunit ribosomal RNA", at positions 100 to 339 of the family's 1533-position model. The record is from RNAcentral. Lineage: Bacteria; Bacillati; Bacillota; Clostridia; Lachnospirales; Lachnospiraceae.
ACGGAUUUCUUCGGAUUGAAGCCUUGGUGACUGAGCGGCGGACGGGUGAGUAACGCGUGGGUAACCUGCCUCAUACAGGGGGAUAACAGUUGGAAACGACUGCUAAUACCGCAUAAGACCACAGCACCGCAUGGUGCAGGGGUAAAAACUCCGGUGGUAUGAGAUGGGCCCGCGUCUGAUUAGGUAGUUGGUGCGGUAACGGCGCACCAAGCCGACGAUCAGUAGCCGACCUGAGAGGGUGACCGGCCACAUUGGGACUGAGACACGGCCCAAACUCC